RNAcentral lists this ribosomal RNA (443 nucleotides) under uncultured bacterium. RNAcentral's name for it is "partial 16S ribosomal RNA". It matches the Rfam family "Bacterial small subunit ribosomal RNA", at positions 338 to 795 of the family's 1533-position model. The record is from RNAcentral.
CCUACGGGAGGCAGCAGUGGGGAAUAUUGGGCAAUGGGCGCAAGCCUGACCCAGCAACGCCGCGUGAAGGAAGAAGGCUUUCGGGGUGUAAACUUCUUUUCUGAGGGACGAAGAAAGUGACGGUACCUCAGGAAUAAGCCACGGCUAACUACGUGCCAGCAGCCGCGGUAAUACGUAGGUGGCAAGAGUUAUCCGGAUUUAUUGGGUGUAAAGGGCGUGUAGGCGGGAAAGCAAGUCAGAUGUGAAAACUCAGGGCUCAACCCUGAGCUUGCAUUUGAAACUGUUUUUCUUGAGUGCUGGAGAGGCAAUCGGAAUUCCGUGUGUAGCGGUGAAAUGCGUAGAUAUACGGAGGAACACCAGUUGCGAAGGCGGAUUGCUGGACAGUAACUGACGCUGAGGCGCGAAAGCGUGGGUAGCAAACAGGAUUAGAUACCCGAGUAGUC